This 253-nucleotide ribosomal RNA is filed under the name uncultured bacterium. RNAcentral's name for it is "partial 16S ribosomal RNA". It matches the Rfam family "Bacterial small subunit ribosomal RNA", at positions 524 to 776 of the family's 1533-position model. The record is from RNAcentral.
UACGAAGGGGGCUAGCGUUGCUCGGAUUGACUGGGCGUAAAGGGCGCGUAGGCGGUUCGUACAGUCAGACGUGAAAUUCCUGGGCUCAACCUGGGGGCUGCGUUUGAUACGUGCGGACUUGAGUGCGGAAGAGGGUCGUGGAAUUCCCAGUGUAGAGGUGAAAUUCGUAGAUAUUGGGAAGAACACCGGUGGCGAAGGCGGCGACCCGGUCCGAUACUGACGCUGAGGCGCGAAAGCGUGGGGAGCAAACAGG